Molecule: ribosomal RNA, 585 nt
Filed under: uncultured bacterium
Lineage: Bacteria
Description: bacterial SSU rRNA
Rfam family: Bacterial small subunit ribosomal RNA
Source: RNAcentral
CCUACGGGGGGCAGCAGUGGGGAAUUUUGGACAAUGGGCGCAAGCCUGAUCCAGCAAUGCCGCGUGCAGGAUGAAGGCCUUCGGGUUGUAAACUGCUUUUGUACGGAGCGAAACGGUCUGCUUUAAUACAGUGGGCUAAUGACGGUACCGUAAGAAUAAGCACCGGCUAACUACGUGCCAGCAGCCGCGGUAAUACGUAGGGUGCAAGCGUUAAUCGGAAUUACUGGGCGUAAAGCGUGCGCAGGCGGUUAUAUAAGACAGAUGUGAAAUCCCCGGGCUCAACCUGGGACCUGCAUUUGUGACUGUAUAGCUAGAGUACGGUAGAGGGGGAUGGAAUUCCGCGUGUAGCAGUGAAAUGCGUAGAUAUGCGGAGGAACACCGAUGGCGAAGGCAAUCCCCUGGACCUGUACUGACGCUCAUGCACGAAAGCGUGGGGAGCAAACAGGAUUAGAUACCCUGGUAGUCCACGCCCUAAACGAUGUCAACUGGUUGUUGGGUCUUCACUGACUCAGUAACGAAGCUAACGCGUGAAGUUGACCGCCUGGGGAGUACGGCCGCAAGGUUGAAACUUAAAGGAAUUGACGG